RNAcentral lists this long non-coding RNA (241 nucleotides) under Gossypium barbadense (sea-island cotton). RNAcentral's name for it is "long non-coding RNA (GBAR_LNC017247)". Lineage: Eukaryota; Viridiplantae; Streptophyta; Magnoliopsida; Malvales; Malvaceae. The record is from RNAcentral.
GAGAUAAAUGAUUGUAACACUUUAUUGCCAUUUGGUGGAUGGCCUGCAUAUAACCUAUCUCCAUUUGGUUAGGAAACUUUGCCUUCAUGCAGAUGUUGCCCAAGUAAGAUUGGCUCUCCUCAUUGGUGGUUGUCCAAAGAUGGCAUUGUACAUCAACAAUUGAUCCAUGACAAAAAAUGCUACCAUAACAGUGGAAAUAUGUCUCAUAUUGCCCAUAGUAAUUGAUAAAGUUAUCAAGCCC